AAUAGCAAGAGACGACAACAAAGGAAUAUGACAACAAAUUUAAAAGAAAUAAAAGAAAAAUGAAACAGAAAGAAAGAAGAAGAAGAAAAUAACGUUAGAGGAAAAGAAAAUGGGAAAAAGAAAUGGAAGUAGUGGAAAGAGAAGAACAUAAAAAAUUUGCGAAAAUUGCUAAAAUCCUCACUUGCCAGAAAAUUAAACGCCUCACGAACCACCCUUAGCAAAAUCAACACUAAUGAAACCAAAAGACCUUCCAAAGAUAUCAAGACAACUACUCUAAAAUGAAACUAACUAAUUAUACUUACCUGAAGAUUUUAAUAACACUGACGCAGUCUAAAUGGCAACACAACAGAAUAUAGGUCGGUAAUGAAGAGACAAUAGUAAGAGACGUCAAUAGGAGAAUAUGGAAACAAAUGUAAAAGAAACAAAAGAAAACGAAACUAGAAGAAAGAAGAAGAAAAAAUAACAUUAGAGGAACCGAGAAUGAGAAAAAGAAAUUGAAGUAGUGGAAAGAGAAGAAAAUAAAAAAUUUGGAGAAAUUGCUAAAAUCCUCAUUCGCCAAAAGAUUAAACGCCUUAUGAACCUCCCUAGCAAAAUCACAACUAAUGAAAGCAAAAGACCUUCCAAUGAUAUCAAGACAACCAUCCUAAAACGAAACUAACGAAUUAUACUUACCUAAUGAUUUUAAGAACACCAACACAGUCUAAAUGGCGGCACAAUAGAAGAUAGGUCGGCAAUAAAGAAACAAUAGUGAGAGACGACAACAAAGGAAUAUAGCAACAAAUGUAAAAGAAACGAAGGAAAAAUGAGACAAAAAGGAAGAAGAAGAAAAAAUAACAUUAGAGGAACAUAAAAGGGGAAAAAGAAAUAGAAGUUGUGGAAAGAGAGGAACAUAAAAAAUUUGGGGAAAUUCCUAAAAUCCUCAUUCGCCAGAAGAGUAAACACCUCACGAACCACCCUAAAAAAUCAGUACUAAUGAAAGUA
Molecule: long non-coding RNA, 981 nt
Filed under: Gossypium raimondii (Peruvian cotton)
Lineage: Eukaryota; Viridiplantae; Streptophyta; Magnoliopsida; Malvales; Malvaceae
Description: long non-coding RNA (GRAI_LNC001605)
Source: RNAcentral